AGUGCUAUUCAUGUGCAAGAGUUAAUACAGCCGUGCUAUUGCACAUUGGAAUGGUA
Molecule: microRNA precursor, 56 nt
Filed under: Ciona intestinalis (vase tunicate)
Lineage: Eukaryota; Metazoa; Chordata; Ascidiacea; Phlebobranchia; Cionidae
Description: microRNA cin-mir-367 precursor
Gene: cin-mir-367
Source: miRBase by way of RNAcentral